RNAcentral lists this long non-coding RNA (409 nucleotides) under Monodelphis domestica (gray short-tailed opossum). Its description in RNAcentral is "lncRNA (ENSMODG00000042089.1)". Lineage: Eukaryota; Metazoa; Chordata; Mammalia; Didelphimorphia; Didelphidae. The record is from RNAcentral.
ACGUGAUUCAACUAUCUCCUUAACCAUAUUGAAAUAUAUUCCUUUCCAGUAAACAUUCACAGGAGACAUCCUACCCUGAAACAACGUACAGAUUUUCUUCAGUUAUAAGGAACGAGUCACCAUUGCACAAGGCUAGAAACAGGUAUUCUGCUGCUACUCAAGGAACAAUAUAUGUGUGGAGGUGGCUAGUUCAAAUCCACCUCUGCAGGCCUUGGGAUUAGCGCCAUGCUACUUGCUUGAUUAAUUGAAUUGAACCACCUGAAUUUUCACCAGGUCUGCUGUGGAAUCUUACAAUCAUUUAUACCUGCCCAAACAACUUGUUCAUCUAUGUCCUUUAUGUAAUAAGUGUGAGUUUAAUUUUCCAUUCACUUUGAAAAAUUCUCUCAUUCUUUAGGUACAAUUUUUUUUC